Molecule: ribosomal RNA, 366 nt
Filed under: uncultured organism
Description: bacterial SSU rRNA
Rfam family: Eukaryotic small subunit ribosomal RNA
Source: RNAcentral
AAACUUAAAGGAAUUGACGGAAAGGCACCACCAGGCGUGGAGCUUGCGGCUCAAUUUGACUCAACACGGGAAAUCUCACCAGACCCCUGCUAACACUCCCCUGCUAACGUACCUUAGUGUUUUUCUAGACGGUGUGAUUCGGAGCAAGAGUCCAUGGGCGUAAGCCCCGGUCUCGGACGAUGUCCACUGAUCCUUGGUGCGUUGGUGUUCCGCGUGCCAUCGGGGAGUCGAGUGUUCGCAUUCUUCGCCUCUGUGGAUUUCUCGGUUCAUUGACAAAGCGCCUCGGAGUACGUUUCUUCUUAGAGGGAUUGACGACUUAUAAGUCGUAAGAAACAGGGAGCCAUAACAGGUCUGUGAUGCCCUUAG